Coffea arabica (coffee) is the source of this 487-nucleotide long non-coding RNA. RefSeq lists it as uncharacterized. The record is from RefSeq and is a predicted model, not a curated record. NCBI's taxonomy places the organism in Eukaryota, Viridiplantae, Streptophyta, Magnoliopsida, Gentianales, Rubiaceae.
UAAAUUCCCAAAUUAAAAACCCAAAGUUGUGAGCUUUUCUUGAAUGUUACUACUGCUUGUAGUUUGGUUUAUGGUUUUAGUUUUUGUUGCAUGACCCUAAGAUUUAUUGGUUUUGAUGUAAGAGCUGAAGAAAUAUUUAGCCUUUUCAUCUGAGCUUUACUUUAUUCUGGGAUAUAUUGCUCUCAUCUGUCACAGUUGAUGUUAACGUGUGCAGAACAGCUAAGCUGAAGUGAUAUAUUGCUCUCAUCUCUACUUCUUUUCCUGUGGUUGCUGGACUGGCUAUUGUCUCUGCUAUAUGCUUUAAUUUAUAUGGUCUCAUUGCACUAUUUCCAAGUAUACUUGUAGGUUCUAUACUGGUUUCUUGAAUGAUUUCUUUGGUUUUUGUUUAGAUUCAUUGGCGUGUCUCUAUAAACCAACAUUGCCUUUGUUGCAACUGCUUUACACUAGACUCAAGAGAUAAUUAUGGGCAUUUAUACCUUUGUUCUUC